GACGAACGCUGGCGGCGUGCCUAAUACAUGCAAGUAGAACGCUGAAGGAGGAGCUUGCUUCUCCGGAUGAGUUGCGAACGGGUGAGUAACGCGUAGGUAACCUGCCUGGUAGCGGGGGAUAACUAUUGGAAACGAUAGCUAAUACCGCAUAAGAGUAGAUGUCGCAUGACAUUUGCUUAAAAGGUGCAACUGCACCACUACCAGAUGGACCUGCGUUGUAUUAGCUAGUUGGUGAGGUAACGGCUCACCAAGGCAACGAUACAUAGCCGACCUGAGAGGGUGAUCGGCCACACUGGGACUGAGACACGGCCCAGACUCCUACGGGAGGCAGCAGUAGGGAAUCUUCGGCAAUGGACGGAAGUCUGACCGAGCAACGCAGCGUGAGUGAAGAAGGUUUUCGGAUCGCAAAGCUCUGUUGUAAGAGAAGAACGAGUGUGAGAGUGGAAAGUUCACACUGUGACGGUAUCUUACCAGAAAGGGACGGCUAACUACGUG
RNAcentral lists this ribosomal RNA (495 nucleotides) under uncultured bacterium. RNAcentral describes it as "partial 16S ribosomal RNA". It matches the Rfam family "Bacterial small subunit ribosomal RNA", at positions 28 to 507 of the family's 1533-position model. The record is from RNAcentral.